GUAGAUUUACAUAAAUUGAAAUAGAAAGAGUAUCUAUAUUCUAUCUAUAUAUAAUAGGAGAGGCAAAACAAGAAUAUGAUGACAAUUGUCAUGCCACAAAAAUAAAAAAUUAAAAAUAUAAAACAAAAGAAUAAAAAAUAAAAGAAUAAAGAAAAUGCACAAUAGUUAAAGAAAAACUACAAGAAGCAUAUUAGUCAGCAAAAUAAAAGUUAAAAAACCGCAACAAUUAAAAAAAAUGCAAGGGGCAAACCCCAUAUAUUGUCAGUUUCAACCGCAAGAACUUCUGCCAUUAUUUCUUUUGAACUAGAUAGAAAAGCACACAUUCAGUUUCAGAUUUUCUCCUAUUCCAUUCUGGGUUUUUAUCCUGACUGCAGGAUGAAGGGAAGAAUAAUGACGACGGAUAUCAGGAUUUAACAUCUCUCUUUCAUGCAAGUGUUCAACUAUCUUGGCAAGAGGGAAUAUGGAUAUCAUGAUUUCACACCUCUCUUUCAUGAAGAGUUCAGCUUCGUUGGUGAAAAAUAAAAAUAUGGAUAGUAGCUACUAGAUUGCUGCAAAUUGGUGAAUUUGGAACUUGAACGAGGAUGAUCAUGCUUGGCAUGCAAGGAGUGUACUAAAAACGUUGAAGAAAUUGAAAAUAAAUAUUUCUGUCCAAAAUGCAACAAUGGUUA
Molecule: long non-coding RNA, 668 nt
Organism: Lycium barbarum (goji berry)
Lineage: Eukaryota; Viridiplantae; Streptophyta; Magnoliopsida; Solanales; Solanaceae
Exons: 4
Source: RefSeq, a predicted model, not a curated record